AUGCUCGUUUUGGCAGCACAUAUACUACAAUUGGAACAAUACAGAGAAGAUAAGCAUUGCCCCGUUCAAGGAUGACACACAAAUUUGUGAAUCAUUCCAUAUAUUU
This 106-nucleotide small nuclear RNA is filed under the name Propithecus coquereli (Coquerel's sifaka). The record is from RNAcentral. Lineage: Eukaryota; Metazoa; Chordata; Mammalia; Primates; Indriidae.